GGACUACUGGGGUAUCUAAUCCUGUUUGCUCCCCACGCUUUCGCGCCUCAACGUCAGGUGUAGGUUAGAAAACCGCCUUCGCCACCGGUGUUCUUCCACAUAUCUACGCAUUUCACCGCUACAUGUGGAAUUCCGUUUUCCCCACCUAUCCUCCAGGUUAGAAGUUUCAGAUGCUGCUCCGAGGUUGAGCCCCGGAAUUUCACGUCUGACUUUCUAAACCGUCUACGCGCCCUUUACGCCCAAUAAAUCCGAUUAAUGCUUGCACCCUCCGUAUUACCGCGGCGGCUGGCAC
This 292-nucleotide ribosomal RNA is filed under the name uncultured bacterium. RNAcentral describes it as "partial 16S ribosomal RNA". The record is from RNAcentral.